UGGGGUGUGGCUCAGUGGCAGAGCACUUGCCUAGCAUGUGUGAGGCACUGGGUUUGAUUCUCAGAACCACAU
RNAcentral lists this transfer RNA (72 nucleotides) under Ictidomys tridecemlineatus (thirteen-lined ground squirrel). RNAcentral describes it as "Spermophilus tridecemlineatus (thirteen-lined ground squirrel) tRNA". It matches the Rfam family "tRNA". From Rfam's summary of the family: Transfer RNA (tRNA) molecules are approximately 80 nucleotides in length. Their secondary structure includes four short double-helical elements and three loops (D, anti-codon, and T loops). Lineage: Eukaryota; Metazoa; Chordata; Mammalia; Rodentia; Sciuridae. The record is from Rfam by way of RNAcentral.